UGCCUGCUCUUUAAUCCAUUUCUGAAUGUCC
This 31-nucleotide non-coding RNA is filed under the name Mus musculus (house mouse). RNAcentral also lists the same sequence under 1 other name. The record is from RNAcentral. Lineage: Eukaryota; Metazoa; Chordata; Mammalia; Rodentia; Muridae.